This 220-nucleotide ribosomal RNA is filed under the name uncultured fungus. Its description in RNAcentral is "partial small subunit ribosomal RNA". The stretch from base 97 to 220 matches the Rfam family "Eukaryotic small subunit ribosomal RNA", at positions 738 to 864 of the family's 1831-position model. Lineage: Eukaryota; Fungi. The record is from RNAcentral.
GGCCUGGCCGGGUGGUCUGUUUAACAACGUGUACUGUCUGGCUGGGUCUUACAGUACCUCUUGGUGAGCUGGCGUGCCCUUUACUAGUGUGUGUCGGGGAACCAGGACUUUUACCUUGAGAAAAUUAGAGUGUUCAAAGUAGGCCAAGCCUGAAUACAUUAGCAUGGAAUAAUAAAAUAGGACAUGUGGUUCUAUUUUGUUGGUUUCUAGAAUUGCCGUA